GAUCUUGCGACAAUGGGCGAAAGCCUGACGCAGCAACGCCGCGUGAAGGAAGAAGGCUUUCGGGUUGUAAACUUCUUUGAUCGGGGACGAAAAUGACGGUACCCGAGGAACAAGCCACGGCUAACUACGUGCCAGCAGCCGCGGUAAUACGUAGGUGGCAAGCGUUGUCCGGAAUUACUGGGUGUAAAGGGAGCGUAGGCGGGAAGACAAGUUGAAUGUUUAAACUAUCGGCUUAACCGGUAGUCGCGUUCAAAACUGUUUUUCUUGAGUGAAGUAGAGGCAGGCGGAAUUCCUAGUGUAGCGGUGAAAUGCGUAGAUAUUAGGAGGAACACCAGUGGCGAAGGCGGCCUGCUGGGCUUUAACUGACGCUGAGGCUCGAAAGCGUGGGUAGCAAACAGG
This 399-nucleotide ribosomal RNA is filed under the name uncultured bacterium. Its description in RNAcentral is "partial 16S ribosomal RNA". It matches the Rfam family "Bacterial small subunit ribosomal RNA", at positions 359 to 776 of the family's 1533-position model. The record is from RNAcentral.